Molecule: long non-coding RNA, 330 nt
Filed under: Dicentrarchus labrax (European seabass)
Lineage: Eukaryota; Metazoa; Chordata; Actinopteri; Moronidae
Description: lncRNA (ENSDLAG00005034555.1)
Source: RNAcentral
AUGGCCGACAGACAGCCACACCUGUUGACCACUGCUGGAAUAUCCUGUCAAUCCUUUUAUACCAGGAGAACCCUAGAGGUUCAAAGUGUUCUGAGCACAAAUCCAAAGGGUGAAGAAAUCUUCAGAGAGUAUGACAAAACUAAAACGCUGUCAGAUGCAACACGCAAACAAAUGGUCAACAUUCUGGUCGCAGAAAUGAUAGAAUCAUAUGGGAGGAUUCCACCAAGAAGUGUGUGGUCCAGCUUUGCAUUGGGAAUUGUGACCCUUUUUCCAUAUCUCCAAGAUCCUUACUCAAAACAUGGAUAUGUAAGUUUUAAUGUGUCUUUGUAG